AGUAUGUAGGGUUUCAAUAUUUAUUAUCAAUUGGAGGCUAUUUCUUUCUCAUUAAGAGGCAGGCAAAUUAAAAGAUUCCGGCACUUCCAUUUUUCAGAAUCAUGCAGCAGAUUGUGUUGCUUUCAUAAAAGGGUGCAUUGAUCUCACCUUUGGUGGAGGCUCAAUUUUGGAGCUUCUAGAAGUUCAUCUUACGGGCAAGAAAGUGGUGAAUGCAGAUGCAUUUUGGAAUGGCUUGCGACAUGAAAAGCUAAAAGUUAUGAUAGAUGAUGAAGCUGCAAUGUUACAAUUAUAUAAAAGGCAUACGGUUAGUGCAGUAUUGCACCAUGUCUGACAUGGUGCAGGUUUUUAACACAUUCAAGACCAUCUCUUUGGGAGGAAUAUUCAGAACAAUAGCAUAGUUGGAGUAUCAUGAUUAGCCAGCAGCAGGCUGUGUGUUGAGGUGCAGAACAAGCAACAAUAGCAUACGGUUCAAUUGUACAAAUCAGUGGGUGUACAAGACAGAUCAACAAGUGCAACAACAACUUGAUCAAUUGUGGGAAGAUCUGAACAAAGCAAGUGUGUGGAGUUCUGAUUCAACAGAAUCAGAAAUACUCUGUACAGCAUCACUAAUCAGUUUAGUUGUUUGUGUGUAUGUAUUCAGCAGGUUGUUUGUUCAAGAUUAGUAGCCACCAACAAAUGUUCAGCAGCAGCUCUGGUUCAGCUAUCUGAACAACAACAGCAACAUUAAAAGCAGUAGGUAGUUGGGCCGCAAGUCUGUACAGAUCAGUAGGGUUUGUACAGCAAGGUACAGAGUGUCCUAAAUGUACAGAAUGUUCUGUGCAGCGAGAUGCAGAUCAGGAGCUGAAGUUUAGGGAAUAUGCAUUGAAGCACAUGUGAUCCGGGGCUGAAUUAAGAAUGUGAAUUAGCGUGCAACAGCAGCAUAGGAGAGUUUUGAUGUUGAUUAAUGCUAAUUGGAUGAAUCUUGAAAUGUUGAUAUGAUUUAAAGAAAUGUUAAAAUUAUAGAAUUUGUUGUAGAAUACUCGUGAAGAUUACAUGUUAGGUUAUUGUUGGAUAUUGAUAAUUAGUGGGAUAUGAUAAAAAGUAUUGAGAUUAUGAGUUGUGUUCGGAAAUAUUUGAUACUAGUGGAAGUAUCUAAUAAUUUGGUGUCCUUAAAAUAAAUUAGGAGUAUUCUUGAUUUUUUGUAUGAAUGUACAUUUGUUUUUGUUUAGAAAAUAUAAAGAGAUCAAUUAGAAAGGCGAGUAAUCUUU
Molecule: long non-coding RNA, 1247 nt
Organism: Amaranthus tricolor (Joseph's coat)
Lineage: Eukaryota; Viridiplantae; Streptophyta; Magnoliopsida; Caryophyllales; Amaranthaceae
Exons: 3
Source: RefSeq, a predicted model, not a curated record